Molecule: non-coding RNA, 119 nt
Filed under: Andreesenella formicacetica
Lineage: Bacteria; Bacillati; Bacillota; Clostridia; Peptostreptococcales; Natronincolaceae
Description: Clostridium formicaceticum MoCo sequence
Rfam family: Molybdenum/Tungsten riboswitch aptamer (Moco RNA motif)
Source: RNAcentral
ACAAAAAAAUAUCUCCGAGUUUAUUUUCCUAAGAAUCUAUUUAUGGAGGAUAGACCGUUAGGUAUUAUUGGAAACGAUAAUGCCCCCCAUUGCGGAAAGGAGUAAUACAUGAUGGAUGC